UUUGAAGUAACUUGUCCAAGGUCACAUAUCUUAUAAGUGGUGGAGCUGGGAUUCAAACCCAGAAUUCUAAUACAGAGUCUGAAGAACACAUCUGCAACUCUAGCAAACAGUUGUCCUGCAUGCCAAUGGCUUCUCACCUCAAGAGCCCCCAUCUCGCUGCUUCUCUGCCUUAAGGCUUUCUCUACCCAGACAGCCCAGAAGUACCAGGGAUUUUAAAGCCCCCAAGGACAACCUUCAACAAGGAGGAAGAGCAUGAUGGAAAACUCAGCCUCUCUGUCCUUCACCAGAACAAUUCUGAGCAACACAACACAACACAUCCUUAACUUCUGUGGUGUUCAUAUGGAUGUGUCCAACCUUGGUACCAGACCUCAAGAAGGAAUGGGUACAAAAGUUGCUCUCAACAACCUGGAACCACUUGGAUGGUAGGAGAGAGGUAGGUAAGGGAUCAUCGUAGGACUUACUCAUUCUUGUGGGAAAGUGGGAAGCUGGAGAACUUUCAGCAGGGAGUGUUAAAACCGAGGCUAAAGUGAGGAUCCCUUUUUGAAUGUUCCCUGCGAACUCUACUGAUCUCAGCGGUGGCCAGAUAGUCCCAAACUUCUCCACAUCAAGAACUCUCAUUCCUCACCUCUGACACUCUGAGUCCAAGAAGAUGGUGUCUUGUGCCAAAAACCCUAGUUGGUCUGAAACUCUUGGUAAACAUGAGACUGUCAUUAUCCAUCUUUAGCAGUUCUUGCUGGGUCCAUCUGUGCCUUUUAACAGCACACAGUUUGCAGCAUAAAAGAUGGAUGUGUCUUAGUCCUAGAGGAACUUAACUCUUUCUGUUUAUGGGAUUUUAGUUUUUUGUUUUGUUUUUGCUUUGGAUUUUUUUUUCCACCAGGUCAGCCUUAGGCCAGAUUGGGAAGCAGGGGAUUAAUGAUACCAUACUUUUGUAUUCUACUUUAUAGAUCUCAGAGUGUUUCCACAUUCAUUACUUGAUUUUAUUGGGGGCUCACAAACUGUAGAAGGCAAAGCCAUCUGCUACCACUCUGCAGUUUCUAGAAGACCUGGCUGAAGCUCAGAGAGGCUGAGCAAACUGCCCAAUAACACAAAGUCAGUUAAAUGGAAGAGUGUGGAACAGCACCUAGCUAUUCUCUUUUUGGGUCAUAUGCUCUUUCCACUUGACUCCAUCCAUAGGCUUUCCCCUCUUUUUCUUUCUGGUUCUGAACUCUCCUCAACCAUCCAUCUCCAGUUGCCCAGGAUAUUCUGUCAUUGAGGCCAAUCGAAACCAUCAGGCAACCAGGCUCUUCAGAUCUUUCCAACCCUGUCAAAACUUAUCUGCCAGCAUACUUUAAAAUCUAGAAUGAUUUCGAAAUAGACAAAGCAGUAGAAUUCUAAACAAAUGUUAGCAGAAAUAGGCUGUUAGGGGUAGGAGGGGGAGUAGGCUCCAGACUCAAAUGUUCCAGGCAGGCCAGGCAGGAAGCACAAACGAGUGGGAUAGUCUUGGUGUCAGCGCUAUGGAGCGGCAAGGCCUGUGGCAAACUAGAGAGAGAGUGCUUUGUCUAAUUGAGCAAUUACUGCUCAGCUCCAGACGACUAUGGCCGUGAAGGAAUGUGAACUUUUCCUGUGUUUUAAAACACCAGGCAGGCCCAACAAAACAUACCCACAAGUUGAAUUUGGCAUGUGGUCAGUUUGGUCCUCUGAUCCAGAGAGACAAAAGAAGAAGGCUGUUCUACUUGGCCCCCAAGUUGAAUUCUACUUGGAAUUCAGUAGAGUAACAGCCAGUUUGGGCACCAAAGUUUAAGAGGGAUAUAGACCAACUGGGACAUAUUCAGAAGCAAGAGACCGUGGUGGUGAGGAGAUGCAGGCAGCUAUGAGGAAAGGUUAAAAGAACUGAAAACAGGAUACUGGAAUAUUUGAUGGGC
Molecule: long non-coding RNA, 1901 nt
Organism: Choloepus didactylus (southern two-toed sloth)
Lineage: Eukaryota; Metazoa; Chordata; Mammalia; Pilosa; Megalonychidae
Exons: 3
Source: RefSeq, a predicted model, not a curated record